Oncorhynchus keta (chum salmon) is the source of this 3233-nucleotide long non-coding RNA. RefSeq lists it as uncharacterized. NCBI's taxonomy places the organism in Eukaryota, Metazoa, Chordata, Actinopteri, Salmoniformes, Salmonidae. The transcript is spliced from 3 exons. The record is from RefSeq and is a predicted model, not a curated record.
CUGUAGGCCACAAAUAGACCAUGUCCUUCUGCCCCACUACAGACCUGUAGGCCACAAAUAGACCAUGUCCUUCUGCCCCACUACAGACCUGUAGGCCACAAAUAGACCAUGUCCUUCUGCCCCACUACAGACCUGUAGGCCACAAAUAGACCAUGUCCUUCUGCCCCACUACAGACCUGUAGGCCACAAAUAGACCAUGCAGCUUUAUUUUACACAUAGCAAAGAUUGCAACUAUUUGAACAACAUGGAGAACAGAAGCUGUAGACCAUGUUGAUCCACACUCAAGUAUAAUUUGUUUGCGCUUUUAUUGAAAAUGAAACACAGAAAUAUCUCAUUUAUUCAAUAAGUAGGAAAUCCAGAAUCCUCCAACAAGGACUUCUGGAAAAUAAAAAACAUGUUGGGAAACCCUAGUUUCAGAUGUAUUGUUAAUACCAGGCUAUGUUCUGUACUGUUUCAGAUGUAUUGUUAAUACCAGGCUAUGUUCUGUACUGUUUCAGAUGUAUUGUUAAUACCAGGCUAUGUUCUGUACUGUUUCAGAUGUAUUGUUAAUACCAGGCUAUGUUCUGUACUGUUUCAGAUGUAUUGUUAAUACCAGGCUAUGUUCUGUACUGUUUAAGAUGUAUUGUUAAUACCAGGCUAUGUUCUGUACUGUUUCAGAUGUAUUGUUAAUACCAGGCUAUGUUCUGUACUGUUUCAGAUGUAUUGUUAAUACCAGGCUAAGAACUGUCUGGGUGACACUGCUUCUCCAACACGCUUCUCCUUCCUUCCACUGUGCAUUAUUCAAUCAACACAAUUUAUUAUAGAGACAAAAUAAUGCUUAGAAACAUGAUUUCUCAUAGCAACAAAACAAUGCUUAGAAACAUGAUUUCUCAUAGCAACAGAACAAUGCUUAGAAACAUGAUUUCUCAUAGCAACAAAACAGUGCUUAGAAUCAUGAUUUCUCAUUGCAACAAAACAAUACUUAGAAACAUGAUUUCUCAUAGCAACAAAACAAUGCUUAGAAACAUGAUUUCUCAUAGCAACAAAACAAUGCUUAGAAACAUGAUUUCUCAUAGCAACAAAAUAAUGCUUAGAAACAUGAUUUCUCAUAGCAACAAAACAAUGCUUAGAAACAUUAUUUCUCAUAGCAACAGAACAAUGCUUAGAAACAUGAUUUCUCAUAGCAACAGAACAAUGCUUAGAAACAUGAUUUCUCAUAGCAACAAAAUAAUGCUUAGAAACAUACUGGUACUUGACUCCCCUCUGCCUGUCUCUCUGUCCCUGUAUGUACCCCCCCAUUCCCUGUGCUUGAGCUAAAGCAUGCGUACUACUACUAAUAAUGCUGUCAGGUGUCUUACUAAAGGGAUCUAUAACGUAUCUACAGCAUACAGUUGAAGUCGGAAGUUUACAUACACUUAGGUUGGAGUCAUUAACUCGUUUUUCAACCACUCCACAAAUUUCCUGAUAACAAACUAUAGUUUUGCCAAGUUGUUUAGGACAUCUACUUUGUGCAUGGCAAAAGUCAUUUUUCCAACAAUUGUUUACAGACAGAUUAUUUCACUUAUCACAAUUCCAGUGGGUCAGAAGUUCACAUACACUAAGUUGACUGUGCCUUUAAAUCAGCUUAGAAAAUUCCAGAAAAUGAUGUCAUGGCUUUAGAAGCUUCUGAUAGGCUAAUUGACAUCAUUUGAGUCAAUUGAAGAUAUAUCUGUGGAUGUUUCAAGGUCCACCUUCAAACUCAGUGCUUCUUUGCUUGACACCAUGGGGAAAUCAAAAGAGAUCAGCUAAGACCUCCACAUGUCUGGUUCAUCAUCAACAGGUUAUGGGCAGAAACCCCAUUGUGUGCAUACUAACAGGUUAUGAGCAGAAACCCCAUUGUGUGCAUACUAACAGGUUAUGAGCAGAAACCCCAUUGUGUGCAUACUAACAGGUUAUGAGCAGAAACCCCAUUGUGUGCAUACUAACAGGUUAUGAGCAGAAACCCCAUUGUGUGCAUACUAACAGGUUAUGAGCAGAAACCCCAUUGUGUGCAUACUAACAGGUUAUGAGCAGAAACCCCAUUGUGUGCAUACUAACAGGUUAUGAGCAGAAACCCCAUUGUGUGCAUACUAACAGGUUAUGAGCAGAAACCCCAUUGUGUGCAUACUAACAGGUUAUGAGCAGAAACCCCAUUGUGUGCAUACUAACAGGUUAUGAGCAGAAACCCCAUUGUGUGCAUACUAACAGGUUAUGAGCAGAAACCCCAUUGUGUGCAUACUAACAGGUUAUGAGCAGAAACCCCAUUGUGUGCAUACCAACAGGUUAUGAGCAGAAACCCCAUUGUGUGCAUACUAACAGGUUAUGAGCAGAAACCCCAUUGUGUGCAUACUAACAGGUUAUGAGCAGAAACCCCAUUGUGUGCAUACUAACAGGUUAUGAGCAGAAACCCCAUUGUGUGCAUACUAACAGGUCAUGAGCAGAAACCCCAUUGUGUGCAUACUAACAGGUUAUGAGCAGAAACCCCAUUGUGUGCAUACUAACAGGUUAUGAGCAGAAACCCCAUUGUGUGCAUACUAACAGGUUAUGAGCAGAAACCCCAUUGUGUGCAUACUAACAGGUUAUGAGCAGAAACCCCAUUGUGUGCAUACUAACAGGUUAUGAGCAGAUGAUGAUUACCUGUGGAAUGCCAAAAAGCCAAACCUUGAACCCUAAUGAACAUAUGGAGGUUUGAUUCACUGUAGUUAUUGUCAAGUUGGUUGUCAAGUUGGUUGUUGAUCAUUGCUAGACAACCAUUUAAGUCUUGCCAUAGAUUUCCAAGCUGAUUUAAGUAAAAGGUUUAACUAGGCCACUCAGGAACCUUCAAUGUCGUCUUGGUAAGCAACUCUUGUAGAUUUGGCCUUGUGUUUUAGGUUAUUGUCCUGCUGAAAGGUGAAUUCAUCUCCCAGUGUCUGUUGGAAGCAGACUGAACCAGAUUUUCCUCUAGGAUUUUGCCUGUGUUUAUGGCAAGCAUACCCAUAACAUGAUGCAGCCACCACCAUAAAGAGUGGUACUCAGUGAUGUGUUGGAUUUUCCCCAAACGUACCGCUUUUUAUUCAGAACAAAACGUUUGUUUCUUUACCAAUUUGUUUGCAGUAUUACUUUAGUGCCUCAUUGCAAACAGGAAGCAUGUUUUGAAAUGUGUUCUAUUCUCUACACGCUUCCUAUUAUUCACUCUGUCAGUUAGUAUUGUGGAGUUACUACAAUUGUUGAUCCAUCCUCAGUUUUCUCCUAUCACA